Molecule: ribosomal RNA, 405 nt
Filed under: uncultured Gammaproteobacteria bacterium
Lineage: Bacteria; Pseudomonadati; Pseudomonadota; Gammaproteobacteria
Description: bacterial SSU rRNA
Rfam family: Bacterial small subunit ribosomal RNA
Source: RNAcentral
GAGUUUGAUCAUGGCUCAGAUUGAACGCUGGCGGCAUGCCUAACACAUGCAAGUCGAACGGCAGCGCGGGGGCAACCCUGGCGGCGAGUGGCGGACGGGUGAGGAACACAUAGGAAUCUACCUCAACGUGGGGGAUAACGUAGGGAAACUUACGCUAAUACCGCAUACGACCGAGAGGGGAAAGCGGCGGACCGCAAGGCGUCGCGCGGUGAGAUGAGCCUAUGUCCGAUUAGCUAGUUGGCGGGGUAAGAGCCCACCAAGGCGACGAUCGGUAGCUGGUCUGAGAGGGUGAUCAGCCACACUGGGACUGAGACACGGCCCAGACUCCUACGGGAGGCAGCAGUGGGGAAUAUUGGACAAUGGGCGCAAGCCUGAUCCAGCAAUGCCGCGUGGGUGAAGAAGGCC